CCGGCUGCGCUGCUGCCCCGCGGCCCCUGGCGCCCUCCUCCUCGGCCCCUGGCUUCGGGAAACCCAGCUGCUCCUCUCAGGUCUCUGCGGACUCCUCGCCGUCAACCUUUGACCCCACACAACACCCCCGCCCCCCCAUGCCGCUGUCCCUAAACUCUGCGCGAACCCACCGCCGCCUUCGCUGAACGUUUGUCUACUUUUAAUUUCAAAGUGAAACGAGCAGAGGUUUCCCCGCCGCACCCAGAACUUUCCCUAGACCCUCUUCUGCACUUUCCAGGGCUGCCCCGCCGAGCCAAGCCCACUGCAGAGCACUCGGAUCCUGACACCCGGCGCCGAGUUGGGGAAGGACCUGAAAGGGCUACCAGGUGGUUAGGUGUUGAGUUGGAAGCAAGGAGUAAUUAACAUUGAGACAAAAGCUGCCGCUGAAAUUCGCUGCGGCCGCUGCCUCUUCCCGCUUUAAUCCCAGACCUCCAGUCAUUGGGCAGCUCCUCAGAGGCAAGAAGUCAACACCAUGGCAACCCGACAAGCCUAUCAGAUCACCGGCUGGUGUGACAGCAGCAACACUGCAGGCUGGAGUGGGCUGGGCAGAAGAGCAGAGUGGCCUCUACGCUCAGCGACAAAAUGAUACCAUCAUUUUUAUGUGACUCGUAUGCAAAACGAAAUACAUUCAUCUCUGAGGUCUGCUGAUGGGAAAUAAAAUCAGAUAUUUCACUUCUAACUCUAUCAAGCAAAAGAAAAAUCAGUUGUGAUUCCAAGAAGAGAUGAACUCUUGGCUUACCACUGAAAAGCUGUAAGCAUCCAAACUACGAAGAGCUCUUUGGACCCAUUGGACUCUGGCUUUCCUGGCUGAUCUGUGGCAUUGACUUCAAGGCGACAGAGGCAGAAGACUUUUUUAACCUUCAUUAUUUAUAAGUUUACUCUUGAAAGUGAAUGAAAAAGUUAAAUGUGGCUUCUUGGAGGUGUGCCUGACAGUCUGGGCUAUAGAUUAGCUAACCAAGCCACAUGGCUCUCACAGGGUUUAGCACAAUUCCCACCUGAAUUGCUCUGACCCCUGGGCUAUCUUGAUAAA
Kogia breviceps (pygmy sperm whale) is the source of this 1069-nucleotide long non-coding RNA. RefSeq lists it as uncharacterized. The record is from RefSeq and is a predicted model, not a curated record. Lineage: Eukaryota; Metazoa; Chordata; Mammalia; Artiodactyla; Physeteridae.